GAGAGAGAGAGAGAGAGAGAGAGAGAGAGAGAGAGAGAGAGGAAAGGAAGAAAAAUCGAGAUAUAGUCUCGAUGGAAUUUGUCCGACAUUCGGCUUCCUCAUACUCCAUUGCAUAGACGAUAAUUUUGUGAAGCACACUUACGGCCGAUGCGAACUACGAGCUUGGAAAAAUAAUAUAUAUCGAUACACUUUCAUAAUCGCCUGUCAGAUUACUGCCGAUAAUGAUAUUUUGCAAUAGGCCUGCAAACAUUUUGCACUUGUAUGCUCCACGAGACACACACAUCGGACUUUUUUAUACGUAUAUACGUAUAUACUAAACGACAAAGAACAACUCCGGGCUCGCAGUUGGAAGUGCGGUAGGUGUGCGAAGGAGUAUUCAUACGACAUACACAACAUAUCCACACACGCAACAUAUAGCAGCAAGGGUCGCCGACGUUUUUUUACGGGAUAUAUUUCCACCGAAACUUUGUUGAAGGAUAUAUGUAUAGUGGAUUUAUUCGCCUUAAAUAUUCUCACCUAUCUAUUAACCCUGGCAGACGCAGGUGUGAUUUUAUAGAGAAUGAUAAACGUCUUGGGAUUCUGCGAUGGUCAGAAAUCUAUUAUAAAAGGGUAAGAAAAAGGGUAAAUAUGUUAUCGAGAUCAUGACACUUAACUAAUUCAAAGAUAGUCGUCGCUUGUUUAUUAAAAAGUUAAAAACGCUUCAAAAAUAGAAUAUAAUUUUCUGAUACUAAAAUGAAAACAGAAAACAAGCUACAAUGUAAGAUGAAUAUAUGAAUUUCUAUAUAGCGUUAAUGGAGGAUUGGGAAGGGGGGUGGUGAAACUGCUCCUCUACUUAUACUAAUAACUUCUAAUUAAAACAAAAACACAGGAAUUAAGUAUUAAAUUGAAUGGUGAUAAAAAAAAUAUGGAUGAAUUUUUAUUAUUGAUAGUAAUAUACGUUAUGGUUUUAUUUUUGAUAUGUAAUAUCUACCUUGUGUAAGGGUCUGUCUAAUCUUUUAAAUUUUUAUUAUUUUUAGUAUAUUGUAGACGAAGAUUUAGUUUAAAACAUAAAUGUGGCUAUAAAGUACACAUGUCAGAAAAUGAUGUGUCCGACAAAUUGUGUUAACUUUUUUAUAAACAACGAAUUAAAAUCUCUUGAAUGUUACUUGGACAUAUUUCAAGAUCAUUGACUUUUGAAGGAAUUGAUCUUAUGAAUAUUUAUCAGAAGAAGAAUUAUAGAAUCUAGAAUUCACAGAUUCCGUAUUCCGUUUUGUUAAUCUGAACUGUCUAUAAUAGAGGAAUACAGUUGACGUUUAAAUUUAUUUAUCUAUAUUCCAUCAUUAGCAUAUCAAAUAAUUGAACGUGAAAUCAGGAUUAGAUGAUCGUUUCAGGAGAUUUAUUGGAUCUCCGCCCGUGUUUCCCAGGGUUAUGAGGAAAGGACUUACAAAUGUACAAAUAUACUAUAUUAGGGAAAUAUUGCGAGGGCGUUGCCGCUGCGGACCUUUAAAAGAGUAGUCCUUCAAAUCCAACAACGCUGCCGAAUGCCGAACUGAAAAAAAAAAGAAAAAGAAAGAAAGAAAAGUAUCAAGAAGUAUCUUUGCAGCAGAGAAUGAUGAUAGGGAUGAUUUAUUGACUACAUUCAUAGUCUUUGAAGAGUAAUGACGUUUGAUUUAUAUAUUGGUGAAUUUUUCUGUAAUUUUAUGUACAACUAUAUAAAAUGACAAUUCUCAACGUGUGAACGAGAGAGAUUGUGAGAACGGAGAGCGAAAGAGAGAAAUAAAGGGUGCGAUAGAGAAAGAAAGAGCGUGAGAGAGAAAGUUUACCUUGUACAUUUACAAAUUGUGGUUAUUACGAAUGAAUUAUUAUGAUUAUUAAUUAUUAUUAUUAUCACGGAUUAUACUAUGAUUAUUAUUAUCAUGUAGAAUGCUUCUUACUGACUGAAUAAAAUGUUUUCAAUGUCUAA
Molecule: long non-coding RNA, 1942 nt
Organism: Atta colombica
Lineage: Eukaryota; Metazoa; Arthropoda; Insecta; Hymenoptera; Formicidae
Exons: 2
Source: RefSeq, a predicted model, not a curated record